CUCAGGUCAGCCAUCGCUUCUCCGCGGCAAGGACGGCCAGGGCAUGGAGUCUGUCCUGGGGAGAGCAGUCUUUGGGGCCUGAACUUUGAGUUUUGGAGCAAGUCACGGGGCUUGAGAGAGCAGGCAGCCCGUGCUGGCGCUGGUUUGGCGAGCUAUCCCCGCCCGGCCCCAUCCUGCCCUGCAGCCUACAGAGAAAGGCACGGACGGCAGUGAAGCCACAGCUGGCCACGGAGGGGACACCACAUCACAGCCCACCGCGAAAAGCUGCUGGGGAAACGAGCCUGGGCGUGUCUCGCGUUUUUAGAGGACACACCUCAUCAAGAGGCAUUUGACUCCAGCCGUCCAGCUUGUUAUUCCAAAUGAAAAGAACCAAAUCACAGGAAUUCAGGGGUCUGAGAGAAGUGUUCCCCUCUGUGCCCAAGGACAUCACCACCACGCUGAGUGGGAUGGAGGAAAAGUAGAGACGGAGUAACGCUGGCCCACAGAGGCAUCAAAAAGUCAACUGUGGUUUGUUCAUACCAUUGAACAAACCAGUUAAAAAAGGAAGCACCAGUUAAAAAAAGGAAGGAGUGUAUGUAAGCUGUUUGUAUCCAUCUGCUAAAGCUCGGGAACACGGAACAUGAGGAGUGUAGCCAUGCCCAGCCCGGUACUGUUUACAGAAAGUUAGAGUCAACAGGAAAGAUGCUAUUUAUGUUCAGUCCCUCUUCCCACAAAGAAUCCUGUAAAAGUGUAUGUGUGUUUGUAGACACAUCCACACAUAGGACGUGGCCUGGCAGCCACCUCUGGGCACCGGGAGAGGCCAGGCUGCAGCCAGCAGGACUGAGCCGACUCUAACGAUACCCCCAGGACGCUUCUGUUGGGUCUGUGUGAUGGGGGCACAGAUAUGUUGUCUGCUUGUGGGACUUUCUAAACAGGCUUGAACUGGGGGCGUCUGGGUGGCUCGGUCGGUUAAGCCUCUGGAUUUCAGCUCAGGUCACCAUCUCAGGAUCCAGAGAUCGAGCCCUGAGUCAGGCUCCGCUCUCUAAACACCGGCAGAGGUUCCUGUCCCUGAGCCCCAGCACUCAGGGGGUGAGGAGACCCCCACUAACCAUGGUGAGGGUGGUAGGAGAAGGAAGCUGUGGCCUCUGGUUCUAAAAGAAGAGAUCUUGGGGUGCCUGGGUGGCUCUGCGGGGAAGCUUCUGCCU
Molecule: long non-coding RNA, 1184 nt
Organism: Ailuropoda melanoleuca (giant panda)
Lineage: Eukaryota; Metazoa; Chordata; Mammalia; Carnivora; Ursidae
Exons: 3
Source: RefSeq, a predicted model, not a curated record